This 493-nucleotide ribosomal RNA is filed under the name uncultured bacterium. RNAcentral describes it as "bacterial SSU rRNA". It matches the Rfam family "Bacterial small subunit ribosomal RNA", at positions 29 to 518 of the family's 1533-position model. The record is from RNAcentral.
AUGAACGCUAGCGACAGGCCUAACACAUGCAAGUCGAGGGCAGCACAAGGAGCAAUCUGAGGUGGCGACCGGCGCACGGGUGAGUAACACGUAUGCAACCUGCCUGUAAGCGGGGAAUAACCCGUUGAAAGACGGACUAAUACCGCAUAAUACUAAAUUACUGCAUGGUAAUUUAUUUAAACAUUUAUGGCUUACAGAUGGGCAUGCGCAUGAUUAGCUAGUUGGAGAGGUAACGGCUCCCCAAGGCAACGAUCAUUAGGGGUUCUGAGAGGAAGGUCCCCACACUGGUACUGAGACACGGACCAGACUCCUACGGGAGGCAGCAGUGAGGAAUAUUGGUCAAUGGACGAGAGUCUGAACCAGCCAAGUCGCGUGCAGGAAGAAUGUCCUAAUGGAUUGUAAACUGCUUUUGCAGGGGAAUAAAGUGCAUCACGUGUGAUGUUUUGUAUGUACUCUGCGAAUAAGGAUCGGCUAACUCCGUGCCAGCAGCCGC